This 75-nucleotide transfer RNA is filed under the name Nocardia otitidiscaviarum. Its description in RNAcentral is "tRNA-Val". It matches the Rfam family "tRNA". Rfam says of the family: Transfer RNA (tRNA) molecules are approximately 80 nucleotides in length. Their secondary structure includes four short double-helical elements and three loops (D, anti-codon, and T loops). Lineage: Bacteria; Bacillati; Actinomycetota; Actinomycetes; Mycobacteriales; Nocardiaceae. The record is from RNAcentral. RNAcentral also lists the same sequence under 57 other names.
GCGCGAUUAGCUCAGCGGGAGAGCGCUUCCCUGACACGGAAGAGGUCACUGGUUCAAUCCCAGUAUCGCGCACCG